RNAcentral lists this ribosomal RNA (465 nucleotides) under uncultured bacterium. RNAcentral describes it as "partial 16S ribosomal RNA". It matches the Rfam family "Bacterial small subunit ribosomal RNA", at positions 28 to 507 of the family's 1533-position model. The record is from RNAcentral.
GAUGAACGCUGGCGGCGUGCUUAACACAUGCAAGUCGAACGGAAAGGCUCCUGCUUGCAGGGGUACUCGAGUGGCGAACGGGUGAGUAACACGUGGGUGAUCUGCCCUGCACUUCGGGAUAAGCCUGGGAAACUGGGUCUAAUACCGGAUAGGACGAUGGUUUGGAUGCCAUUGUGGAAAGUUUUUCGGUGUGGGAUGAGCUCGGGGCCUAUCAGCUUGUUGGUGGGGUAAUGGCCUACCAAGGCGUCGACGGGUCGCCGGCCUGAGAGGGUGUACGGCCACAAUGGGCCUGAGGGAGGGCCCAGACUCCUACGGGGGGCAGCAGUGGGGAAUAUUGCACAAUGGGAGCACGCCUGAUGCAGCGACGCUGCGUGGGGGAUGACGGCUUUCGGGUUGUAAACUCCUUUCGCUAGGGACGAAGCGCUAGUGACGGUACCUGGAGAAGAAGCACCGGCUAACUACGUG